This 406-nucleotide ribosomal RNA is filed under the name uncultured bacterium. RNAcentral describes it as "partial 16S ribosomal RNA". It matches the Rfam family "Bacterial small subunit ribosomal RNA", at positions 30 to 526 of the family's 1533-position model. The record is from RNAcentral.
AUUGAACGCUGGCGGCAGGCUUAACACAUGCAAGUCGAGCGAGCGGCGGACGGGUGAGUAAUGUCUGGGAAACUGCCUGAUGGAGGGGGAUAACUACUGGAAACGGUAGCUAAUACCGCAUACCAUCGGAUGUUCCCAUAUGGGAUUAGCUAGUAGGUGGGGUAAAGGCUCACCUAGGCGACGAUCCCUAGCUGGUCUGAGAGGAUGACCAGCCACACUGGGACUGAGACACGUACCAGACUCCUACGGGAGGCAGCAGUUGGGAAUAUUGCACAAUGGGGGCAAGCCUGAUGCAGCCAUGCGGCGUGUAGGAAGAAGGCCUUCGGGUUGUAAAGUACUUUCGGCGGGGAGGCGUUACCCGCAGAAGAAGCACCGGCUAACUCCGUGCCAGCAGCCGCGGUAAUAC